CCCGGCAAGAAGGAGCUGUCAUAGAAGAUGAGUUGAAAAGGCGACACAACCUUGAAGUCCGAAAGGCUCCCCUUUCCUUCCAGAAGUGUCCUCAGGCCCAGUAUCCGAUGACAAAAGCCGCCACAGAGAGACAGAUGAUCAGGUUUGCGUUCACCAGCUGCUGCAGACAAGGAUUUUCUUCCAGUUUGUUGCAUUCAGGUUCUGCAGGAAUCUCCGGCGUCUUCUGUCCUUCCUUUGUUCUGCUGUCCAUGCCACACAGCCAGUAGAGGGCGGACACCAGCCUGGACGCAGGUCUCCCACUGGGUGUUGUUGACUCUACAGGGAAAACAGAUGAAGACUCAGACCUGGACAACGGAUCCGUAGAAAGACAAGAAAAACCUUUUCUCUCGCUGCUCUCGUCCGGUCUUCCUGUUCCCUCGUCCGUCCGAGGCAUGACCAACUCCAAGUUGAGCUCUUUGCGCUCCACGUGGACAAAUCGUGUGAACCAAGACUAGUGACUCCAACACAAGCGGUCUUACCUGCUCUGCUGGGGGCUCCUCCGUGGCCAGACUGGCGCCCACCACCACCACCAGCGUGAUGAGGGACAGAACUAUGGAGAAGUACAGACAUGAGCGGAGAGCUUGCGUCGUACCGGCUGCCUUCGUCUCGUCGAGAAACGUGGCUUCCCUCGGAGACACUGGCGGUCACCACACCCGCGACCACACCCCUCCAACUUUCAGACCUUCACUCUCACUUUCCUCACCCACGAAUCUUUGAUCCUCGCUCAAAUUAAUGGGGAAAUCGUCGCUUUCUCGGUCCGAAUCGCUCUGGCUGCUGGUGGCCAUGAUUGUAAACAAUGUUCAGAUGUGAGGAGCUCCACAACCCGUGACGUCACGCGCACAUUGUCUGCUACUUCCGGUACAGAAGCAUCCCAUGAGGAAGACGAUGGAGACGGGGGGUUGCAGGUUGGUGCUGAUGGCCUGGAUGUAGAUGAAGAGCUGCCCGCCCUGACUGGCUUGCACCACAGGAAUCCACAGGAUGGACGCCACCACCAGCACCAGCACAAACACUCUAGCAGGUGUUCCAAAAAAAUCACUUCUGCUCAAUUUCCACAGGAGUUUUUGGUGUCCAAAAUGAAGGCUCACCUGCCCACGAUCAUCAGCUCCCACUCGGAGGCGCUGGAGCGGAAGGUCUUCCACAGGUCCAUGGUGAAGAUGGUGCUGGCGCUGUUAAAGAUGGAGGUGAGCGAGGAGACCAGAGCGGCGAUCAUCACCGCCAUCAUCAGACCUCGUAGACCUGAGGGACGUAGGAGCAGCUUUUAGAGCCCGAGAAGGCCCAACACAUACUUGCCAACUUUGAGACCUUCCAUUUCGGGAGGUGGGGGGCGUGGUCAGAGGGGAGGAGUAUAUUUACA
Molecule: long non-coding RNA, 1393 nt
Organism: Nerophis ophidion (straightnose pipefish)
Lineage: Eukaryota; Metazoa; Chordata; Actinopteri; Syngnathiformes; Syngnathidae
Exons: 5
Source: RefSeq, a predicted model, not a curated record